GGCUCGUGAGCGCGCUGCUGCCCGGACCGAGCCUGGGCCUCAGAGAGGACGAGGAUAAGAGUUCAGGCGAGAGACGGGUGACCGCCCCUCAGCUGCUGAGCCGCUUCGGCGCUUCCGUUCCCGCAGCUCUGACUAUUCGGACCCUCAGGGCAGAGCGCUAAGAGGCCAACUCGCUGCUCCGUGGAGCUGACGUUCAGAGAAUAUCCAUCUCUUAUUGAAAACAUCUGUUGAGCAUCUGUGAUCAGUCAGAUCCUGAUCUAGGAAUUUCCAACAAACGCUGCUGGUGGAUUGUGCUUGGAGGAUGAAGAGAAAGGAGAAAACACAAAAGCCUCCCAACUGUCUCUUUUGAGUGGCAGAGUGAAUGAAGUAAAAUUCACUGAGGAGGAGCAGUCUGCUGGAAGAACAGAUUUCUUUAUUCGGAGAGAAGGCAGGAAGGAAAAUUUUAAAUUCUAUCUGAACAUUUUAAAUUAUAUUAUGCCCACUUAAUAAUUUGUAAUUGAACUGUUAAUACAUGACUUAAGGUUCACCCAAAUCUGUACAAGAAUAAGCCAUGUUAUAACAAAGUGCCAUGCUACCUGGGAAAUUAAAAUUAAUGACAUGUAUUUAAAGUAUAAGUUCUUAAAGUGAGUUAGUGUUUCUGUUAGGAUAAUUGCUACCAUCGAUUGAGGGGGUUUUUAUUUGUUUGAACCGUAUGAGAUUGCAGAUAUUGGUAAUUUUGAACUUGAAAAUGGCAAUGCCAUACGGCUUGUCUCUGUAUUCCGGCCAUAGAACUAUUUGUUUACAUAUGAAUGAAUGAAUAUUCACAAAAACCCUUAAGGUAGACUUUCUGUUAACUUAUACUUGAUAAAAUGGAAGUUCUGAAAGAAGUUAAAUAACCUGCCGAAAGUCUGCUAACAAGUAGAUGAGCAAGAAUCAAAACAAGGUCUUGCUGACAAAGCAUCUGGACUCUUGGUCACAAGGUUAUACCACCCCUAUUUCCAGCCAGAAUCAUUCUGCCUUCCUCUCAAUGUAAAAAUCUUCAGAUCCAAAAGACAGAUAUACAGGAGUGCUUGGUCUGAUGGGAUGAAGAGUUGCUGACUGUCUUCCUCCUACAGAGAGCCAAGUUCAAGUGGAACUUACAAGUCAGGAUUGCAUUUUAGAAGUAAAUACAGUGAACAAAGAGAAAUCAGAGUGAGUUAAUACUAUUAAAGGUUGCUCAGAAAUUCCCAUUAAAUUCAUUUUUUCAAGAAAUUUCUAGCUUCUCUUCUACAUUUAUCACUGAAACCCCUCUACUAUACAAAUACAUUAAAUAGAAAACAAGUGAUUCUAACCUCAGAGAAAAUAUAAUGCCACCGGCUGAAACAUAUCACCAGUCAACAAGCUGUGACCACUUUUAGCGAAUGCCUUAUAGCAUGUUUAAUACCAUACUUAAUAUCAUACUCGGGCAUUUCUAUACACUGAAAAGUGGUACUACCAAUGAGUGACAGUCAGUAUGGAAAUAAGUAAAAUACAUCAUCAAUCAUAGAGACUUUAGGCUUUUCCCUCUUAAUAUAGUUUCUGGAUUAUCUAGAUUUCAGUAAAAUGAAGAAACUCUUCAUAUAUGUAUUCUCACCCUGUCUGUGAAUCAAUUAGGAACACUAUAAGGACAGAAUAGCAAAGUCUGCUUGAUCAGUUAGUAAUUAGCUGUUUAAAUCAAAGGUUAAAAAAAGUUUACAUGACUGAAAGCUUUCUGUCCACCCUUGGGAAGAAUAUUUCCCACACAGCUCUUGCAUUGUGAAUGUCAAUUAGAGCCUACAGUCCUUGGUGAUGAGCAGUAGAAAUAGUCACCUAAUGAAAUCAUACUCCUGCUAAUGUAAAAUUGAAUUUUCAGUUUAAUAACGAAAUGAAUCUGUUCUUCAAUACUGUAUAGAUUAGGGGUUGAGUAUAAUAGCUAGUCCCCAAAUUGGUCCUGGAAAUAAGGGCAGAACUUAUUAAUCUCUAAGUUCUCAGCCAGCUUUGAUAGUAGUUGAAUAAGUACCAAAACCUAAAACUUCCCGGGUGGCUCAGUGAUAAAGAAUCUGCCUGCCAUUGCAGGAGACGCAGGAGACAUGGGUUCGAU
Molecule: non-coding RNA, 2077 nt
Organism: Odocoileus virginianus texanus
Lineage: Eukaryota; Metazoa; Chordata; Mammalia; Artiodactyla; Cervidae
Source: RefSeq, a predicted model, not a curated record